GUUGGAAGUCGAACGACUUUGGAAAACUACCCCCUCACGAAGAGAUAGUGCGAUCCUCCACACCUGGGGCGCGAUUUCCACGAGUCGUUUCUUGCACUCCAUCGUAUUUAAGAAAGUGUGAUUAAUUCCGUUCAAGUUUAACAUACGUUUAUUUCGAUUGUUUCGAGUGAAUUUUGCUCGCCAUUUUAUUUGAUCGAGGUUAUUGCUUUCGAUUAUUCGCUCUUUGAAAUAAUUGAUGUAAUCGGGAUAAUACAAAUAUUGAAUUUUUAGUUAUUUCUGUUGAAAAUACGUUAAUAAAUAAAAGAAUAAAAAAUUGAAAGAGGGGAAGUUUCUUUCAGGAUGAAUAACGCGAUUCGAGAUAAACAUAGAUAGAUGUAUGAAUUAUUUUUAAAUAAUUUUUUACUCGUAUUAAUUCGUUCGAGAUAGAUUAAAAAAUUAUUCGAUAUAAUUGAAAUUUUUAUUUGAACGAAUUAAUUCCCGUUUCCGACAAGUGUUGGGCAUAUUUCAUUUCAAGUAUAUAUACGCAAAUUGAAAUGAUGAAUUAUCGAUUUUAAUAUUUUUAUUUUUUCGAAUGAUGUGAAAAAUUUAAUUUUAUUUCCCGUGAAACGCAUAUAUAUUAUUUUCAAAUAUUUAAUUAUUUAUUUAUUUAUUUAUUUAUUUAUUCGAGUUAAUCCACUUAAAUAAAUUAGUAAAUUUGACGUAAAAGCUUGCGAUGAAACGUUAUUUUAUUUCAACUUUCAUUCUAUCCGCGAUAUGUAUUGUUAAAUUCUGGGGGAAUUUAUGCUAACCACAUUUAAAACUAAAAUGUUAUUCCCAUGAAACAAUUGGUGGGAAAGAUCAUCCGUGUUGUACUAAAUCUAACACCAUUGUAACGAGCGAAAACAAUUUUUCUACAGGCGUAGAUUAUUCAACGUGAAAAAUAUAUUUAAAUAAAAAAUUACUUCGUUUGAAAACUUUGUGAGUGAGAAAGUAAUUUAAAACGCAAAUUAUUUAUACCCUUUUUUAGAUAAUAAUUAGAUAACAAUACAACUUGAUUGGAAAAAAGACAAAGGUUAAAUAUUAUUAUAAUAAUAAUUUUAAUAUUCGUUACUUGAAAUUUUUUCACGUUUGAAAUAGAAUCUAAACUUUCCUAUUUAUCACUCCUUUUAUUAUCCUAAUAAAAUAAAUCAUUCAAAGCUAACCUAUUUUAUCUUAAAAUUACGAUAUAAAAUAUUCGUAAACAUCUUAAUUUCAAAUCCAACCUCGCGAGAGAAAAAAUUCACGAAACUAUCUAAUACGUGACAAUUAAUAUUCUCGUUUCGUUUAAUGUAUCCCUGUUCGCUGAUAAUAGCCGUCCGCGUAUCGAGUAAUUGCGCUACUUUUUCACGUCUUCUUUCCCGCAGCAACACCCGCACUAUUCGCAUGAAUAAUGCGUCGCGAUUAAUUGCGAGUCGCCCACGGCGUUUAGCCGAUACUACCCGUGUUCCCAGAUUUUUCCACCCGUGAAAAACGCUUGCUCGCGCGUUUUUUUUUUUUUUUUUUUUUUUUUUUUUGAAAAGCGGCAUGCGCAACACAAAUUUACACCGUGAUAUUCGAGCUUUAUUAUUCGAACGUAAAUUUGAAAAUCGCAACAUCGUAGACACGUAUUAUCGUACGAGCUUUCGAACAAGUCGAACGAUAUUAUUUUAUCCGAGUCUCGUUUGCGUUCUACGAUUAAGUAGAUUGAAGCGAAACUCUUGAAUCCGCUACGAUUCGCUUUAAAAUUUCGAUCGAAUUCGUCUAUUAAAAUUGACGAAACUUUGAAUCGCCGUAACUCCGAAGUUAGUUAACGCAAAACGAUAAAUGGACGAUCGUUGGAAGCGGGGAAUCAUGCUCUUUAAAACGGUGCUUGAUUUAUCGCGAUACGAUUUCCAGUUUCCGAGAUAUCGUUGUGUAAAGAAGAGAGUAAUUUUUAACUUGUCCACUAUCUCCGUCCUUUUCGCGCGCUUCAACCAAUCACUUCCACCUCCUCCCCACCACUCGACCCAGUGUAUCUUAGAAACUCUAUUACAUUCUAUUAAAAUCAGAAAAACUUUAAACCGCUGUAACUCCGGACGUAUCGACUUCUGUUCAACGAAUGAAAUACGAUUAGAAGCGUGGAAUUUUGCUCUGUGUCUUAUAUUAUUUCCAAUCUUGUUACACACGCACAUCUCCUGUUUGCAUAUUCUCGUUUAUUUUGAUAUAAACCUUGCACUGGUCAAUUGCGAGCUACCAAAUGUGAUGAUGAAUAUCUCGAUAACUGUAAAUAUGACGAAUUUUCUUUGUACAUGAAUCGCUUCUUGUGUUUAUUACGAUGUAAAUAAAAAUAUGUAUAAAUCAAGAAAACGAACUAAACGAACUAACUAAAUUAUACUCUUUAGAGUUCGUUCAAUUUUUAUUAAACAUUUUUAAAAUUAUUAAACACGUAUACGUAGUAAUCGAAGCAACUGUUCCAGUUACGUGUUCAAGCCUGUUUAUGCCGGGUAUACGCGGCAUGAAGAAAGAAUUUCUCUUAAUUACGCGAGAAUUUCUCCUAACAGGAGUCAAAGAGGAACGCUGAAUACAUCAUAUUUCUAGCAAUUUCAUCGUAAAAACAACGAUUUUGCUUGAAAAGUUUUUCAACAUCCCUUGGAAAUAUGGAGGAUUUUAAACUUUUAAGACCUUCGAAAACGUUGGACAUCAUUAGUCCGUAAACGAGCGAGUGCUUGAAAAUUUACAAGAUGGUGGCUCGAGGCGGCAAGUCUUGAAACUUAUGGACCCUCGUUAAUAACUGGAACGGAAAUAAACAUCGAUCUCUUCGACGUUUGUUACGCAAAAACGCAAUGUAUUAUUCGAUUAAUUGUUAAAAAAUCUCAAAACAUAUAAAUAAAUAUAUAUAUA
This is a long non-coding RNA of Apis cerana (Asiatic honeybee), 2877 nucleotides long. RefSeq lists it as uncharacterized. NCBI's taxonomy places the organism in Eukaryota, Metazoa, Arthropoda, Insecta, Hymenoptera, Apidae. The record is from RefSeq and is a predicted model, not a curated record.